GGGAUGGGACUAAGACAUGCUAGUCGUGCGCCUUCUAGCCACGCUGAAGGCGCGGCACACAGCUCAGUAACACGUGGCUAACCUGCCCUUGGGACGGGAACAACCCCGGGAAACUGGGGGCUAAUUCCCGAUAGGUAAAGAUUCCUGGAAUGGGUCUUCGCCCAAAAGACGUUUGGGUCACGCUUCCAGACGCUGCCCAAGGAUGGGGCCGCGGCCGAUCAGCUGUUGGUGAGGUAAUGGCUCACCAAACCUUUAACCGGUUCGGGCCGUGGGAGCGGUAGCCCGGAGAUGGGCACUGAACAAGGGCCCAGCCCUACGGGGCGCACAGUCGCGAAAACUUCGCAAUAAGCGAAAGCUUGACGGGGCCAUCCCGAGUGCCAUCUGCUGAGGAUGGCUUUUACCCAGUGCAGAUAGCUGGGGGAAUAAGGAGAGGGCAAGUCUGGUGUCAGCCGCCGCGGUAAUACCAGCUCUCCGAGUUGUGGGGAUGUUUAUUGAGCCUGAAGCAUCCGUACCGGCUGGGCAAGUCCCCUGUUAAAUCCAGCGACAAAUCGUUGGCCUGCGGGGGAUACUGCUCGGCUAGGGGCGGGAAGGCCGUCGGUAUUCUUGGGGUAGGGUGAAAUCCUAUAAUCCCAGAGGACCACCAGUGGCGAAGGCUGUCGGCUAGAACGCGCCCGACGGUGAGGGAUGAAAGCUGGGGGAGCGAAC
This 705-nucleotide ribosomal RNA is filed under the name uncultured archaeon. Its description in RNAcentral is "bacterial SSU rRNA". It matches the Rfam family "Archaeal small subunit ribosomal RNA", at positions 35 to 724 of the family's 1478-position model. The record is from RNAcentral.